This 301-nucleotide ribosomal RNA is filed under the name uncultured bacterium. RNAcentral describes it as "partial 16S ribosomal RNA". It matches the Rfam family "Bacterial small subunit ribosomal RNA", at positions 509 to 807 of the family's 1533-position model. The record is from RNAcentral.
CAGCAGCCGCGGUAAUACAGAGGGUGCGAGCGUUAAUCGGAUUUACUGGGCGUAAAGCGUGCGUAGGCGGCUUCUUAAGUCGGAUGUGAAAUCCCUGAGCUUAACUUAGGAAUUGCAUUCGAUACUGGGAAGCUAGAGUAUGGGAGAGGAUGGUAGAAUUCCAGGUGUAGCGGUGAAAUGCGUAGAGAUCUGGAGGAAUACCGAUGGCGAAGGCAGCCAUCUGGCCUAAUACUGACGCUGAGGUACGAAAGCAUGGGGAGCAAACAGGAUUAGAGACCCGAGUAGUCCCUGUCUCUUAUAC